RNAcentral lists this ribosomal RNA (1217 nucleotides) under uncultured bacterium. RNAcentral describes it as "bacterial SSU rRNA". It matches the Rfam family "Bacterial small subunit ribosomal RNA", at positions 1 to 1230 of the family's 1533-position model. The record is from RNAcentral.
AAGAGUUGAUCCUGGCUCAGGACGAACGCUGGCGGCGUGCCUAAUACAUGCAAGUCGAGCGCAGGAAAUCGACGGAACCCUUCGGGGGGAAGUCGACGGAAUGAGCGGCGGACGGGUGAGUAACACGUAAAGAACCUGCCCUCAGGUCUGGGAUAACCACGAGAAAUCGGGGCUAAUACCGGAUGGGUCAUCGGACCGCAUGGUCCGAAAAGGCGCUUCGGCGUCGCCUGGGGAUGGCUUUGCGGUGCAUUAGCUAGUUGGUGGGGUAAUGGCCCACCAAGGCGACGAUGCGUAGCCGACCUGAGAGGGUGAUCGGCCACACUGGGACUGAGACACGGCCCAGACUCCUACGGGAGGCAGCAGUAGGGAAUCUUCCGCAAUGGACGAAAGUCUGACGGAGCAAUGCCGCGUGAGUGACGAAGGUUUUCGGAUCGUAAAACUCUGUUGUAAGGGAAGAACAAGUACCAAGUAACUACUGGUACCUUGACGGUACCUUACCAGAAAGCCACGGCUAACUACGUGCCAGCAGCCGCGGUAAUACGUAGGUGGGCGUAAAGCGCGCGCAGGCGGUCCCUUAAGUCUGAUGUGAAAGCCCACGGCUCAACCGUGGAGGGUCAUUGGAAACUGGGGGACUUGAGUGCAGAAGAGGAAAGUGGAAUUCCAUGUGUAGCGGUGAAAUGCGUAGAGAUGUGGAGGAACACCAGUGGCGAAGGCGACUUUCUGGUCUGUAACUGACGCUGAGGCGCGAAAGCGUGGGGAGCAAACAGGAUUAGAUACCCUGGUAGUCCACGCCGUAAACGAUGAGUGCUAAGUGUAGCAGCCGCAAGGUUUCGGUGCCGCAGUUAACGCAUUAAGGGCUCCGCCUGGGGAGUACGCACGCAAGUGUGGAACUCAAAGGAAUUGACGGGGACCCGCACAAGCAGCGGAGCAUGUGGUUUAAUUCGAAGCAACGCGAAGAACCUUACCAGGUCUUGACAUCCUUCUGACCGAUCCUUAGCCGGAUCUUCCCUGGGGCAGAAGAGACAGGUGGUGCAUGGUUGUCGUCAGCUCGUGUCGUGAGAUGUUGGGUUAAGUCCCGCAACGAGCGCAGCACUUGCCUUUAGUUGCCAUCAUUAAGUUGGGCACUCUAGAGGGACUGCCGAUGAUAAAUCGGAGGAAGGUGGGGAUGACGUCAAAUCAUCAUGCCCUUUAUGUCCUGGGCUACACACGUGCUACAA